This 19-nucleotide small nuclear RNA is filed under the name Arabidopsis thaliana (thale cress). RNAcentral's name for it is "snRNA_06251". The record is from RNAcentral. Lineage: Eukaryota; Viridiplantae; Streptophyta; Magnoliopsida; Brassicales; Brassicaceae.
CGCAUGCGCCCGCCGCCCG